CUAAUACAUGCAGUCGAACGGGAUUGGAGAGCUUGCUUUCCAUGAGAGUGGCGUACGGGUGCGUAACGCGUAUGCAACCUACCUCAAUCAGGGGGAUAGCCCGAAGAAAUUCGGAUUAACACCGCAUAAAACCACAGACUGGCAUCAGUUAAUGGUCCUUAUUUAUAGGAUUGAGAUGGGCAUGAUUGUCUUUAUCUAGUUGGUAAGG
This 208-nucleotide ribosomal RNA is filed under the name Pedobacter sp. UA-JF0115. RNAcentral's name for it is "partial 16S ribosomal RNA". It matches the Rfam family "Bacterial small subunit ribosomal RNA", at positions 48 to 257 of the family's 1533-position model. The record is from RNAcentral. Lineage: Bacteria; Pseudomonadati; Bacteroidota; Sphingobacteriia; Sphingobacteriales; Sphingobacteriaceae.